This 2203-nucleotide long non-coding RNA is filed under the name Olea europaea subsp. europaea. Lineage: Eukaryota; Viridiplantae; Streptophyta; Magnoliopsida; Lamiales; Oleaceae. The record is from RNAcentral.
CAUUUUUUUCCUUUCCUUUUUUUUCCCCUUUCUUGUUUUUUUUCUCCUAUUUUCCUUUUACUUUUUCUUUCUCCCUCCACAUUUUCUUUCUUCUUCUCCCUUCAACUUUCUCUACUCCGACGCGCCACAAGAUUAUUGUCUCACUACCUUCAAUCAGCAAUCAUCCGUCAAUCCCAGUAACCUAAAGAUCCAAGUUAGUGCCAGAGACAACUUAGAGGUAUCAUUAUUGGUUUUUAUUUGUUGGGUUGUUAUGGAUUUUGUUGGGAAAUAUUGUGAAAUGCAAAUUAGGUUAUUUGAUUGUUAUAAAUUCAUUUAUUAGGUUUCUAUCAAUUCAUUUAUUGGUUGCAGUGGAAUAUCUAAGAUCUACAAUAAAGUGAAGGUUCAAACUCCAUUGAAAAUGUUGUGGGUUCUGGUGGCUAAAUUGUUGAAUUUGUUCGUUUGGAUCUUGAGCGUUCUCUUACUUUGACGUUUCUUUACAUUUUAUAGGAAAAGUGGUUACAAAUAUGCUAUCUAGUUCGACUCUAGGAUAAUGAUAAAUUCCUAGGGCUAUCUUUUCUCAUUUCAUUUUCUUUUUGGGUUUAUCAAUUAUGAUUUUUGUAAUGAGGUAAUGAUUUGUAUUAUAUGUGAAGAUUUUAUUUUUACUGUAAUUUUCAGUACGAUGGAUGACAUUUCACUAGAAUGUUAAUGAUUUCAACAUUGAUUUGUUUGAUCGGGUUUGUGUUGUAAAUCUCUAGAUAUAUGAAGAAGCAAAGAAGUUCUCGUAUCAAUCUAGUGUAAAGGUUGUGGUUGCUUAUGGUGGGGCACCAAUUUUCCAGUAGGUUCGAAAUUUUUUACAUCUGAAACUAAAAUUGUUAUGUUGUUUUGACAUUGGCUAUUAAUUUAUCUUAACGUCUUUUGGCUAAAUUCUGAUCAAUGUAUUUGUUGAUUGUAAUGUUAGAAUGGUUUAAGUAGAUUGUUAGAUUGUAAGGUGAUGAAAUUAGAAAGCAGGGACAUGAUGGCUCCAUGGGCUUCUUGACGAGGUAGUUGCCAUGUUUUAGUGAAUUUUUAUAUUUCUUGUAAUGAUAUUUUGUCAUUCUAAGAUACUAUAAGUAACUUCUUCUUUUUUUAGUUUUUUUGACAAUUUCAGUUUUUUUGACAAUUUCAUUAUCUUUGGAAUGUAGUUUCCAUCCUUUCCUACUUGAUUGUCUUCUUGUUGACACGCCAAAAGUGCAGCCCAAAUCGAAUAGCCCAAAGAAUGAAGCCCAACUGGGCAAUUCAGGAUAAAGGCCCAAAUAGGAUUAUUAAUGAAUGCAGUGGAAGCCCACGAAUGCAGUAACACCAUCGCCCAAACUUGCAAGACGCCCAAGAUCUGAGCGAAUGAAGUGCCUUGCAGUCGCCUAGGGUUAUGACCCUGUUCUCGUCCAAACCUUCGAAUCGCCCAAAAUCUUAGCAAAUAUAAGAUGUUAUGAUUAUCCAAAAGUACAGUUAUCGAAGCAGUUAUUAAGUAAUCUUAUCACGUUCCACGAUUGAAGGAUGUUCAGUUGAAAACGGUUGAACGACAAAGAGUAGUGACAGCAGUUAGAGACGGCAGUUCCACGAUAAGUUCGCCAACAUGAAGAAAGUGGGUAGUUAUAAAGCAAUUAAGCGGUUUCUAAGUGGUUGAUCACGAAGAGAUCAUCAAAGGAAUAUAAAAGGAAGAAAAGACAUAGAGCGAAAGGUCCCCGAAUCAAACACUCUCAAACAGAGAAUAUAUAAUUUCAAUUUCUUAGUUUAGACUUAAACAUUUCUUUUUAGUACUCGUGUGCUUGCGCCACUUGGAGGCAUUCUGUUUAGUUCCAAUUGUAAAGUCAUCGCCAAUAAAACAUCCCUUUUUGGGACUUUGUCUCAAGAGGUUUGUUCCUUACAUAAUCGUCUGAUCCCUUUUUAAUUGUUAGCGACCACGCGCGCGAAACACUUCUAUAAUGGAAGUUUCUGUCUCCACUUUCUUGAGUCCUUAGGCAAUUGAGCACAUGUUUAAUUUGUAAGCCAAAGACACUUUUAUUACAUGCAGUUUUCGUCCUUUUUGUUGGUAAAAUUAGUUGAUCAUUACUUAAGGAGGAUAUGGUUUAAGGAAAUCUAUGAUUAUGUUGGUAAAAUUAGUUUAUCAUUAUAUUAUGUCUAUUCAUUAGUGAUGUUCAACUCAUGUCAAGAAGCAAGUUCGUCGUUCCUGUUUUUGUGAAGCUAC